Molecule: ribosomal RNA, 408 nt
Filed under: uncultured bacterium
Lineage: Bacteria
Description: bacterial SSU rRNA
Rfam family: Bacterial small subunit ribosomal RNA
Source: RNAcentral
GUGAGGGAUAUUGGGCAAUGGGGGAAACCCUGACCCAGCAACGCCGCGUGAGGGAAGAAGGUCUUCGGAUUGUAAACCUAAGUAGUCAGGGACGAAGAAAUGACGGUACCUGAAGAGUAAGCUCCGGCUAACUACGUGCCAGCAGCCGCGGUAAUACGUAGGGAGCGAGCGUUGUCCGGAUUUACUGGGUGUAAAGGGUGCGUAGGCGGGCUGUCAAGUCAGAUGUGAAAUACCGGGGCUCAACUCCGGGGCUGCAUUUGAAACUGAUGGUCUUGAGUGAAGUAGAGGCAGGCGGAAUUCCUAGUGUAGCGGUGAAAUGCGUAGAUAUUAGGAGGAACACCAGUGGCGAAGGCGGCCUGCUGGGCUUUAACUGACGCUGAGGCACGAAAGCAUGGGGAGCAAACAGGA